Molecule: ribosomal RNA, 502 nt
Filed under: uncultured bacterium
Lineage: Bacteria
Description: partial 16S ribosomal RNA
Rfam family: Bacterial small subunit ribosomal RNA
Source: RNAcentral
AUUGAACGCUGGCGGAAUGCUUUACACAUGCAAGUCGAACGGCAGCACGGGUGCUUGCACCUGGUGGCGAGUGGCGAACGGGUGAGUAAUACAUCGGAAGGUACCCUGACGUGGGGGACAACGUAGCGAAAGUUACGCUAAUACCGCAUACGUGCGGAGGGAGAAAGCAGGGGAUCGUAAGACCUUGCGCGGUAGGAGCGGCCGAUGGCGGAUUAGCUAGUUGGUAGGGUAAAGGCCUACCAAGGCGACGAUCCGUAGCGGGUCUGAGAGGACGACCCGCCACACUGGAACUGAGACACGGUCCAGACUCCUACGGGAGGCAGCAGUGGGGAAUUUUGGACAAUGGGCGAAAGCCUGAUCCAGCCAUUCCGCGUGAGUGAAGAAGGCCUUCGGGUUGUAAAGCUCUUUCGGCAGGGAAGAAACGGUUUUGGAUAAUACCCAGAACUAAUGACGGUACCUGAAGAAGAAGCACCGGCUAACUACGUGCCAGCCGCCGCCGUAA